Molecule: ribosomal RNA, 444 nt
Filed under: uncultured marine bacterium
Lineage: Bacteria
Description: bacterial SSU rRNA
Rfam family: Bacterial small subunit ribosomal RNA
Source: RNAcentral
GAGUUUGAUCCUGGCUCAGAUUGAACGCUGGCGGCAUGCUUUACACAUGCAAGUCGAACGGCAGCACGGGGUUUACCCUGGUGGCGAGUGGCGAACGGGUGAGGAAUACAUCGGAACGUGUCUAUAAGUGGGGGAUAACGCAUCGAAAGAUGUGCUAAUACCGCAUAAUCUCUCAGGAGAAAAGCAGGGGAUCGCAAGACCUUGCGCUUUAGGAGCGGCCGAUGCCUGAUUAGCUUGUUGGUAAGGUAAAAGCUUACCAAGGCUUCGAUCAGUAGCUGGUCUGAGAGGACGACCAGCCACACUGGGACUGAGACACGGCCCAGACUCCUACGGGAGGCAGCAGUGGGGAAUUUUGGACAAUGGGGGAAACCCUGAUCCAGCCAUGCCGCGUGAGUGAAGAAGGCCUUCGGGUUGUAAGACUCUUUCUAGCCGGAACGAACGGUU